RNAcentral lists this ribosomal RNA (432 nucleotides) under uncultured bacterium. Its description in RNAcentral is "partial 16S ribosomal RNA". It matches the Rfam family "Bacterial small subunit ribosomal RNA", at positions 29 to 507 of the family's 1533-position model. The record is from RNAcentral.
ACGAACGCUGGCGGCCUGCCUAACACAUGCAAGUCGAACGAGACCUUCGGGUCUAGUGGCGCACGGGUGCGUAACGCGUGGGAACCUGCCCUUAGGUUCGGAAUAACUCCCCGAAAGGGGUGCUAAUACCGGAUAAUGUCUUCGGACCAAAGAUUUAUCGCCUUUGGAUGGGCCCGCGUUGGAUUAGCUAGUUGGUAGGGUAAAAGCCUACCAAGGCGACGAUCCAUAGCUGGUCUGAGAGGAUGAUCAGCCACACUGGGACUGAGACACGGCCCAGACUACUACGGGAGGCAGCAGUGGGGAAUAUUGGAAAAUGGGCGAAAGCCUGAUCCAGCAAUGCCGCGUGAGUGAUGAAGGCCUUAGGGUUGUAAAGCUCUUUUACCCGGGAUGAUAAUGACAGUACCGGGAGAAUAAGCUCCGGCUAACUCCGUG